UGGGAAUCUUAGGCAAUGGGCGAAAGCCUGACCUAGCGACGCCGCGUGAGGGAAGAAGGCCUUCGGGUCGUAAACCUCUGUCAUGGGGGACGAAGGAAGUGACGGUACCCCAAGAGGAAGCCCCUGCUAACUACGUGCCAGCAGCCGCGGUAAUACGUAGGGGGCGAGCGUUAUCCGGAAUUAUUGGGCGUAAAGGGCGAGUAGGCGGUCUGUUAAGUCAGGUGUGAAAUUUCAGGGCUCAACCCUGAAACUGCGCUUGAAACUGGCAGGCUAGAGGACAGGAGAGGGAAGUGGAAUUCCCGGUGUAGCGGUGGAAUGCGUAGAUAUCGGGAGGAACACCAGUGGCGAAGGCGGCUUCCUGGACUGUACCUGACGCUGAGGAGCGAAAGCUGGGGGAGCAAAC
RNAcentral lists this ribosomal RNA (403 nucleotides) under uncultured bacterium. RNAcentral's name for it is "bacterial SSU rRNA". It matches the Rfam family "Bacterial small subunit ribosomal RNA", at positions 356 to 773 of the family's 1533-position model. The record is from RNAcentral.